GCCUUUUGGCCGCCUCGGGCGUUCAGACGGUCUUCUACGGCUCCUUUCGCCGGCUGCGGGUGAACCUUGCAAGGAGAAAAGCCUGCUUCCUCUUCCUCCUUGGCAUGCAAAGGCUUUUUCGUGGGAAUCAGAUCUGAAGGGCUCAGUAUCUAUCUAUCUAUCUAUCUAUCUAUCUAUCUAUCUAUCUAUCUAUCUAUCUAUCUAUCUAUCUAUCUAUCUAUCUAUCUAUCUAUCUAUCUAUCUAUCUAUCUAUCAUCUCUGUUGGAUUUAAAUGAUCCUAAAUAAAUAGUGUAACCGAUGAGGACUUGGCACUGCUCCACGUGAAUGCUGGGGAAGGUGGAGGAAGGCAGCAGGAAAAGAGGAAGAACAGACACAGGUGGAGUGACCCUCUAAACAAGGAAGCCACCAGCUUGAGUCUGCAAGAGCUGAGCAGGGCUGUUGAAGAGGGGACAUUUUGGAGAUUGCUCGUUCGUAGGGUGGCCAUGAGUUGAGAGGUGACUUGGUGGCCCGUAACAACAGACCGUGAUGAGAUCGCGUUUGCAAGCUGUCGCGGGUCCUGGAAGUAAUCAUCAGUGCACUGAACUCUGCUUGAAAUGGCGUCCUUGGAGCGGUGGAACUGCUGCAUUCUGCACUAGAUGCAGGAUCCGUAUCACCUUCCAAGGACUCCUCCUGCGCCUCUAAAAAAGUGAGGUGAGGAAAAGAUGCCGAACAAGCGAAGCUUUCCAUCUCCGUGUUAAGGAUCCAUGAACAACUGGCUGCCACACAGCUGUUAAAAGUACUGUACGGCAGGCCUGACCGUGUUCACUGCCUUGAUUCCCUAUGAAGCCCAUGCGGUUGCCAUAUAGACUGAAAUCCCAAUGAAUUAAACUCGGCGUGGCGUCUUUCAGCAAUCCUAUGGCGUAGUGAUUACAGCCUGGACAAGGAUUGGUGCAAAAAGCUCUGGCAGCCGUAAAGCUUCUUGGAUGACCAUGGGCCAAUCAGACUCAUUCGCCCUUCGUGCGUCCUGACCUACCUCACAGGGUCUGUUGUGGUUAUAAAAGAGGAGGAAGAGUCAUA
Molecule: long non-coding RNA, 1056 nt
Filed under: Pogona vitticeps (central bearded dragon)
Lineage: Eukaryota; Metazoa; Chordata; Lepidosauria; Squamata; Agamidae
Description: lncRNA (ENSPVIG00000004602.1)
Source: RNAcentral